CCGGCAUCGGAUUGAUCUAGCCAUGCGAGUCUUUGUAGUAAUACAAGGCAGACGGCUCAGUAACGCGUACCCUACCUAACCUAUGGACGGGAAUAACCUCGGGAAACUGACCCUUAUGCCCGAUAGAACACUAUGCCUGGAAUGGUUUGUGUUCCAAAUGAUUUAUCGCCGUAGGAUGGGACUGCGGCCUAUCAGUUUGUUGGUGAGGUAAUGGCCCACCAAGACUAUUACAGGUACGGGCUCUGAGAGGAGUGGCCCGGAGAUGGGUACUGAGACACGGACCCAGGCCCUAUGGGGCGCAGCAGGCGAGAAAACUUUGCAAUGUGCGAAAGCACGACAAGGUUAAUCCGAGUGGUUUCUGCUAAAGGAACCUUUUGUCGGUCCUAGAAACACCGAUGAAUAAGGGGUGGCAAGUUCUGGUGUCAGCCGCCGCGGUAAAACCAGCACCUCAAGUGGUCAGGAUGAUUAUUGGGCCUAAAGCAUCCGUAGCCGGAUCUGUUAGUUUUCGGUUAAAUCUGUACGCUUAACGUACAGGCUGCUGGGAAUACUGCAGAUCUAGGGAGUGGGAGAGGUAGACCGUACUCGGUAGGAAGGGGUAAAAUCCUUUGAUCUAUUGAUGACCACCUGUGGCGAAGGGGGUCUACCAGAACACGUCCGACCGUGAGGGAUGAAAGCUGGGGGAGCAAACCGGAUUAGAUACCCCGGUAGCCCCAGCUGUAAACUAUGCCAACUCAGUGAUGCAUUGUCUUUGUGGCCAAUGCAGUGCUGCAGGGAAACCGUUAAGUUUGCCGCCUGGGGAAGUACGUACCCCAGUAUGAAACUCAAAUGAAUUGACGGAAUU
RNAcentral lists this ribosomal RNA (841 nucleotides) under uncultured archaeon. RNAcentral describes it as "bacterial SSU rRNA". It matches the Rfam family "Archaeal small subunit ribosomal RNA", at positions 27 to 875 of the family's 1478-position model. The record is from RNAcentral.